UACGUAGGGUGCGAGCGUUAAUCGGAAUUACUGGGCGUAAAGCGUGCGCAGGCGGUUUUGUAAGCCAGAUGUGAAAUCCCCGGGCUUAACCUGGGAAUGGCAUUUGGGACUGCAAGGCUUGAGUGCGGCAGAGGAGACUGGAAUUCCUGGUGUAGCAGUGAAAUGCGUAGAUAUCAGGAGGAACACCGAUGGCGAAGGCAGGUCUCUGGGCUGACACUGACGCUCAUGCACGAAAGCGUGGGGGAGCAAACAGG
This 254-nucleotide ribosomal RNA is filed under the name uncultured bacterium. RNAcentral's name for it is "partial 16S ribosomal RNA". It matches the Rfam family "Bacterial small subunit ribosomal RNA", at positions 524 to 776 of the family's 1533-position model. The record is from RNAcentral.